AUGGAGUUCCAACUAAAAAUAGAGAGCGGCGAUACAAGCAGCCAACGGUCAGCGCUCCCAAUGACAGCAUUAAUAACCGCAGCCGCUUCAGAAAGGUUUGAUACUGAUGGCAAAAUUCCAGUCAGUGGUUGCAAACAGAAUCUCCACACAGUCAUACUUGAGCUGCUGAGGAACCCACAUUACUGGGAGUGCAGGAGGUAAAUCUGGAAUCCAUCUGUCUUCAGAGACACAGCAUUUAUUCACAUAACAGCCAGGUCCUGCCUCACCUUAUCCCCAAUCAAUCAUGGUUAAUACCCAACAUCUAAAAUAAUACUAUAAAAAUAGUAAAAUAGAAUAAAAAUAAUAAAGUAAUACUAUAAAAAUAACCUGCUACAGUCUGUGUGACCAUGGAAUCUGGGUGGCCGUGGAGUCUGCAGCCUUUGUAGUGUGAUCACUCUUUCAGAGUAAAUUGGGUGUACAGAGAAAAUAUUACAAAACACGAUGGUCUGUUAACACAUGCCUGUUACAUUCAUUCAUAUCUUAACAGACAAAGCUCACCUCCACCACUAAAAGCAUCAUCAAGUCACAUGCUGUAAGACUAGAAGACUUAGAAAUCAUAGAAAUAGUAUCAGAAUGAAUAUGGGCUGCUGUUUGGACUAGAUGACCGUAGUGGGCUUUUCCAACCUUUAUGAUUCCACGAUUCAGAACAAACUGAUGGUAAGAUGCCACCCUUAACUAUGCUAUAGAUGAGAUCACAGAUAAAGGUUGUUCCUUUCACAUUUGCAGCAUGAAAAAAAUUUCUUUAACUUUUGAAAGGUACUUAAGAUACAGCCUGUUGUAAGCAGACGUGAAGCCACACUCAACUAGUUACUGCCUGAUUAAUUUUGGUGGGCAAUUCAGAUGCCAGGCAAGACUUGCUCUGUCCUGGCAAGAUGGAAGUCUUUCUUGUACGCAAUGGGAAAGGCCCCACGAUACAGCUCAGAGCCAUGACUAUUUAGAUAUUAAAACAGUGGAUGACAAAACUGAUCCCGAAAACAAUCUGUUACAUGAACUCUGCCUGCUGAAAGCACUUGGAGUGGUUCUUGAUGGGAUUAUGUUGAGUGCUCCUGGCAGCUGCCAAGGAAAGUAUGUGGAAGGUAAGGGAGGAA
Molecule: long non-coding RNA, 1127 nt
Filed under: Meleagris gallopavo (turkey)
Lineage: Eukaryota; Metazoa; Chordata; Aves; Galliformes; Phasianidae
Description: lncRNA (ENSMGAG00000019813.1)
Source: RNAcentral